ACGUAGGGGGCAAGCGUUAUCCGGAAUUAUUGGGCGUAAAGGGUGUGUAGGUGGUUUUUUAAGCGGGAGGUGAAAGGCAAUAGCUUAACUAUUGUAAGCCUUGCGAACUGGAAGACUUGAGGGCAGGAGAGGAAAGUGGAAUUCCUAGUGUAGCGGUGAAAUGCGUAGAUAUUAGGAGGAACACCAGCGGCGCAGACGACUUUCUGGACUGUAUCUGACGCUGAGGCACGAAAGCGUGGGGAGCAAACAG
Molecule: ribosomal RNA, 250 nt
Filed under: uncultured prokaryote
Description: partial 16S rRNA
Rfam family: Bacterial small subunit ribosomal RNA
Source: RNAcentral